This 164-nucleotide small nuclear RNA is filed under the name Marmota monax (woodchuck). RNAcentral's name for it is "U1 spliceosomal RNA". It matches the Rfam family "U1 spliceosomal RNA". Rfam says of the family: U1 is a small nuclear RNA (snRNA) component of the spliceosome (involved in pre-mRNA splicing). Its 5' end forms complementary base pairs with the 5' splice junction, thus defining the 5' donor site of an intron. Lineage: Eukaryota; Metazoa; Chordata; Mammalia; Rodentia; Sciuridae. The record is from Rfam by way of RNAcentral.
AUACUUACCUGGCAGGGGAGAUACCAUGAUCACGAAGGUGGCUUUCCCAGGGCGAGGCUUAUCCAUUGCACUCCGGAUGUGCUGACCCCUGCGAUUUCCCCAAAUGCGGGAAACUCGACUGCAUAAUUUGUGGUAGUGGGGGACUGCGUUCGCGCUCUCCCCUG